CGCGCGGGCCCGCGCGCGGACGUUACGUAUACGCGGGGCGAUACGCCGCGUAUCGUAAUUCGCAAUUUGCCCGAGCAUUCACCUUCGAAUUCCCGUUACUCACGUUCCGUAUCGUCGUCCUACACUCGACACCCGGGGCACCGCUCCCGGCGGUAGCCGUGUACCACCGCGAGCGGCGAAAUGGCUCGCGUGAUCGAUGCAGUUUUUCCUUUAUUUCACGUGAUAAGUAUCGUGCGCGAGAUGGAGAUCCUCGACGGCGAGGAGCGAAGCGGUAAGGAGUACGGGGGGCAAGGGGUGAAUUUGGAUAAGUGGAUGGAUGGAUGGAAAAUCUGCGGCCCAAAUCGGAUAGCGGAGAUACGUGCCUCCCUUUUUUUUCUCUUCUCUCGACUCGUGAUGAACGUGUUCACUUAUCUCUUCCUUCGGCAUUAUGUAACACCGAAAGGAAAGAAUAGCGGGCAUCCGAGAAAAACCGAGAAAGCGAGAGAGAAGAGUGUUUCGAUUCGCCAAACGAUGAACCAUUUCAGGUUGGUCGAGGAGGAUCGAUUCUCAGCAUAACGAGAGAGCAACUUUCUACUCACGGUAUUCGUAUAAAGUUCAGCUCCACGUUUGUAAUUUGCGGUUUGCUGCGCGCGCAGCAAUCAGAUCGGUAACGUGGACCGCUAAACGAUCUUACCCGAGAAGAGCAUCGGCUAUUCUCGUCCUUUCGUUUGCGUGAAAACUGAAAUGGCGGAACGGCUUUCUAAUGUAUCACGUGGAAAGAAAGAAAUUAGAAGAUUAUAGUGAAUUGCGUUUUCUCGUGUUUUUGUUCUCGAAACAAGAAUGGAAAUUAAAAAUUGUAUUCAAUAAAGAACAUACGUGGGACGUAACGAGCAAUUUAGAACGAUAAGAAUAAUUUUUUUGAGAGAAGGUUAUGUUUGAGAUAAGAUUAAUAAGAUAAUAAGUGAUGAAUGUAAAUAAAUGUAAAUGAAAUCAAGCUCGAAUUGUUAAAUUGGAAAAUAUAUAGAUCUAUGUGUUGAAUAAUACGAUAUUUUAUCCAUGGAUAAAUAAAGCAAAGUUUCAAAGUACUUCAAUUUCAAUCUCUUUGAUCAAUUAUAUACAUUUGCAUCGAUUUAUCAAAAUUUUAUUUUAAAAAACUAGGAGAAAAAUGAUAGAGAUAGAUGACAAAUUUCUGCGAGGAUUCGAUGAAUGAAUACCCGAGAGUGAUAUUAUUCACGUUACCUCGAGCGUGUCUAUAUAAUUUCUCAUUUACACAAUGGUGCACGAACGAUGCAUUUGCACCGUGUUGCAGCAAUGCAACUUUACUUUAACAUAUCGAUUCACGUACGUCGAAAGUUUCAGAAGGCCACGGCAAUACGAUUGAACGAGCAAAGCCUCUAAAAGAGACGAGAACUUUUACACGAAUUUAAACUUUCAUCAAGGUUACGCAUAUUAUUAAUUUUUCUAGUAAGGUUUAAAUAUAUUGCUGAAACCGAAGUAUGGAGUAUGUUUUUAUGCAUUCAUGAGAAAUACGAAUAUACAAAAAUGGAUAUCUUUGAAAGAGUUUAUUUUAUCGAUUCGCAACGAAUGUAUGAUUAUUCUCAAUGCCAUGGUAUACCUGCACGUGCAUAAACUAACAGCCAUGAAUAAAAUAACUUUCAUGAUAUAAUUAAAUGUAGAUAGAUGAUAUAACAAACACGAACUUUUCCCCUCUCUACUCUCUUAUACAAUACGAUUAGCAACGAAUUUUGAUACGCAUAUUUCUCCAGGUAUCGCAUGACUCCAUGCUUCUCACUGCAUUUCGUAUCAAAAUAAAAAUAAAUUUAAUUACAUUUAAAGAGAGAUGUUAUUUUACAACAUCAAACAACAUUUCAAACUUUUGAACCUCGCAAUCAAUUACCACGUAACGAGCCUGUCUCAUCAAUAUCACUUACCACAAAAUAAAUUUUUCUGUAUAUUAUUAUAUUAUAAUAAAUUUAAUUACACUUGCUGUCCAAUGGGUCAAUCCAAAUUUGUUCGUUUUUCGAUAGAAGGAAGAGGAUCCCGUCGUUUUGAUGAACAACGAACCGAUCAAAGGUCGAUCUUCGAUCGGUGUUAAUGAAAUUAGCGAGCGAUGGCCGAGGGAUAAGGCGCUGUGCAGAGCGGAAAACGCGCGGAAGAGUCGGCCCAGCCUGAUACCUGAUAUCGGUAUUAACUCGACCAUAAAGCAUUCCGCGGGCCCCGUCCACAAAGUGAUUGCGAUUGCGCCUCGGGCAUUACAACGCGCAGAUUUAUGAACAGGGGUUGCCUACGAACAAAAAUUGGGAAGGAGGUAAAAUAAGGGUUUCACUUGUAAAAGAACAAAGGGAGUAAUGAUAUAUGUAUAUGUAUAAGGGAUGUAUGUAAACGAUGAAGAAUGGUAAUGAAGCGGAUCUAAAGAGAUUUCAAGAUUCUGCCGAGAGGAUUCCGAUCCAAAUUGCCAGAAUCCUUCGAAUCUGGAGAGUGUUGGAGACGUUACAAAAUGCGUUCCGCAAUGCAGACACCGCGGAACCUUUGUACAGCUCGAUGCCAGCUGUGCGGAGUGCCAAGUAAAAACUGAAUAUUUGUCGCCUUAAUAUGUCCAAUAAAUAUGCUUCAAAUUGUGAGAAAAGACGCAGCAAAUGAAAAGCAAGGGGAAUAUUCGAUUUAUCAUAUUCAAAGUAAUUUUAGAUAAAAUGAACGGAUAUUUUUAAUUUUAUCAAAAAUUAUCGUUAAAAUAUUUACAAUAUCUCAUUUAUGCUACUGAAAUUUACGAAAUCUUUGAUCAGUUGCCAAAACUAGAGCUAAAAGUAAAAGCUAAAAAAUCACUAUACGUUUUCAAAAAUCAAAAUUUAUUCAAUCAAUAAAUACAGAAAAUUAAUAUAUUUCCGAAAAAUCAUAGAAAAAAAUAAAUAUAUAAUAUGUAAUUACAACAAAUAGAAUAUUUAAAUCAUCAAAAUACUUAAUAUCACGUUUAUCUUGCUAAAAUAAAAACUCUAUUUAAUAGCAAAAAAAAAAAAAAAUCACUGUACGAAAAACCAAUAUUUUCUUUCUAUUUCAAAAUGACAAUAACAGCCAAGAACAGAUUCGAACCAACAUGAAAAUAUACAAAACUGCAAGGGAAAACUUACUUAACGAAAUUUUCGACCAAUCGCGAAAUAAACUGGAAAAAAAUCGCAACACAGAUUCGAAAAAAAAUCAGGGAAAAGCAGAUUUUCUUCUAUUUCACCGCGAAUAACAGGAAUAUCUGGACAAUUGGUAACCCCCGCGGGGUUAAGCCGCGGCUCGCAAUAACCGAUCGACGCACAAACACAAUCCCACCUCUCUCAAUCGCCCGUUUCAUUUGCAAAUAUACAUACUUCCGCAUGCUGGUCGGUAAUGGCCGUUCGAAAUUGCUCGAUCUCAAUAAAAUGGCCACGAAACUUGGCGAACACUGUACAUAGACGGCGGUGCGCCAAUACCAGGGCAGAAAGGGACACGUGUGCAUCGAUGCAGGUGAGCGCACACGCGCACGCGAAUAUCUCGUUGCAAUUUUACAGGAACCCGACCAUCCUAGGGAAUUUAUAUUUCUCGUUAUCUUUCCCGCGUGCAUGCGCAUGUGUGCCGCGCAUACAUCGCAGCGUGCUACUCCGUCGGGACAAUUUUCGCGUGGAAAAGUUAACGUUUGUGGCACGCCAGCCGCGGAAACGAGGAAUAUUUCAUUCUGGAAGAUCGUUUGCUUCGUUUCUGGUGUCUUGACUACCUCUGCUGUGGAAGAGGAAUAGGAACGUUACGUCUCUUGGUCGAACGAAAUUGGACACAGAAUCCUUCCUUUCAAUUCUGGAGGAAACUUCCCCAUGAUAUCUUCAUGGAAGAUUCACAAAGAUCGAAUCAUCAAUUCCAGGAAUGGAAUUACCCCAAAAAUUUAAGUCGAAGAUCAAGGAUAUCGAGUUCCAUUAACUGAAAAGACCAAGCGAGGAUUCGUCCAAGAUAUUAAUUAAAAAAUAUUUAAAUCUUAUCAUUCGUGCACGUAUUUGGAAUAUCCAAUUAAAAUGCGAUCUCUUAUCUAUAUUAAAGAAAAAUGCGAUGGGAUCGAGUUGAUCGCGAGCGAGAUUUGAACAUUGACAGAGGAACGUAUCGCAGAUAAAUUUAGAUCUGAACUGUUAGUUCAGAAGUGAAAAAGAAGUUUUAAAUGGGAUAUAACAUUGAUAGAAAAUAGAUAAUUCGAGGGACGGAUGUUCUAAAUCGAGGAGUUUUUUUAAGAUGAACGACGUUUCUUCCCUUUAACUCAAUAACACUUCGUUUGAUCCCUUUCGACAUGAUCUGUUGCUUCAUGAUUUUCGUUUUGCACUUGAUUAACGAAAGAAAGGGAAACACUAAUUAUCGUUGGACAUAUCUUCGAUCAAAAUGUUUCUUCAAAGACAUAUUUUUUUAGUUUGAUACUACAAAUCUUGGUGGAUUUUUCGUAAGAGAAAGUGAGAAAAACUGGAACUUUGAUGAUGAGAUAGGGAAAUGGAAGUUUAAUCAAGCAUUUGAGAUACCUUUGAGAUACCUUGGGAAUAUUAGAUAUUGGAAAUUUAGAAUAUUCAAAUUUUAAAAAUUGGAUAUCUUCGAAUAUUUGAAUAUUUUAGAUUUAAUAAGAUUUUUAAGACGAGUUAAAUGUAAAAGUGAUCUGAACUGAAUCUGAACUGAGGAUUAACUUGAUCAAAUAAUAAUUCAGUAAAUUGAUCCUGAAAAUAUUGUUUUUUGAAUAUAAAUAUGAACACUAAGUUUGGAAGUGGUACUUGAUUUUACGUAAUAGUUUUACACCUUUCUCUCUUUCAAAUAAUCUCAUCAAAGAUUUAAGAAGGAGCAAUUCAAUUCGAACAAAUUACUCGAUCGAUUAAUGCAUUUCAACCAGUCACCCUUUCACCCUCCUAAAAGCUUUCAAUCCAAUCUUUUUAUAUUCGUUCCCCUUCAGCUCGCAAGCUCGAAAAGAGAGUUCAGAUUCGGUAGAAACAUUCGAUCCCAAGCAAUUUCCUCGAAAGGAAACACGAAACAAUCGCAUCGAUCACGAGAAUAAAUUAAUUCUCUUUUUCAAUCAAGAAACGGAAAAAUACGAGAUCGAUUACAAAUACCUCUUUUUUUUUUUCUAAAAAAAAUUUAUAAACUUUUAAAAGAUUAAAAGUUUCCCUCUACCUUCCUACAUCCUACAUCUUUAAAAAUUCCAAAAAAAAAAAAAACAAAUUCAAAAUAUCUCGAAUCUUUUUCCAAAUUCCUAUUCCCCUUUCCUCUAAACCGCGUCACCUAUGAGAAUAAAUCAUCCUCUCCCAUACCAGGCAAACCAGAAAAUCCCCAUCAAACGUGAAAAGAAUCCCCCGUGGAAAAAAGAAGAAGAAAAAGAAGAAAAAGAGGAGGAAAAAAAAAAAAAAUAUCCCCAGAUGAACCGGCGCUGAAGAACACAUGUGCAUUAUUCUCGCGUCUCAUCUGACGAGGACGCGAUAAAUCCCGACCCGGUUCCUCCUCCGCGCAUCCUCGUCUCUCCUUCAGGUGUUUCCUGCUCGUAUCCCCCGGUUUGUCUAUAUUUCACCUGGCAGGAUUUACGUUUGGUCGCCGCCACCGUCGCCGGUGUUGUCGUUCGAUGACCGGUCUCGCGGUUGCUCGCAGCUGCAGCUGCAGUUUCCUGGAUCCCCGGCACCCGAACGAUCGGCGGCCAUUUCUCUCUCUCUCUCUCUCUUUCUUUCUCUUUUUCUUUCCUUCUCCUUCUCCCUUCAUCUUCUCUUCAUCUCCUCCACUUUUCCCUCCUUUCCUUUCCCUCCUCCUUCCUCUCCUUUCCUUCUUUCUCUCUCUUUUCUCCUCCUCCUCCUCCUUCUCUCUCUUCCUCCUCCAUCCCUCAGCGUGUGUCUACGUGCUCCCUCGUACCUACGCAGCACAGGUAUGCGCGCACACACCUGGAACAUGUAGAACCAGUCCGUGACGUCACGUGAAGGACCCACCGUGAACACGAGAUCGUCCUGAUUUCCGGGUUCGGCUCCCGGUGCCGGCCACGACGAACGUGCGCCACGACGUCGAUUUAUUAAAUGCACCGCGGCGGGGGGAGGAGGAGGAGGAGGAGGAGGAGGAGGGCUUGUAUUAUUAUAUAUCUUCCCGUUGCACGGUUUUACACACGGGAAAGCUUGCACUUGAGUUAGGCUAAGCGUUGCCGCGACUCUGUCGCGACGAUGACAAAAUCGUUGAGAGGGAGGG
Molecule: long non-coding RNA, 6177 nt
Organism: Apis laboriosa (Himalayan honeybee)
Lineage: Eukaryota; Metazoa; Arthropoda; Insecta; Hymenoptera; Apidae
Exons: 7
Source: RefSeq, a predicted model, not a curated record